This is a long non-coding RNA of Hyalella azteca, 148 nucleotides long. RefSeq lists it as uncharacterized. NCBI's taxonomy places the organism in Eukaryota, Metazoa, Arthropoda, Malacostraca, Amphipoda, Hyalellidae. The transcript has 2 exons. The record is from RefSeq and is a predicted model, not a curated record.
GCCAGUCCUAAAAUCAGCAAGGAUUGAUGUCAAUGAUUCCUGAAAGAAGAAUGAAGAGCGGAGCACACUGUCUCCCCGCCAGCAUCUCCACGGGUAUAGAAAUUUGUAAAUUGAACCCAACAUUUUCCAAUAAAGUAUUACAAAACUA